RNAcentral lists this transfer RNA (64 nucleotides) under chicken gut metagenome. It matches the Rfam family "tRNA", at positions 6 to 65 of the family's 71-position model. From Rfam's summary of the family: Transfer RNA (tRNA) molecules are approximately 80 nucleotides in length. Their secondary structure includes four short double-helical elements and three loops (D, anti-codon, and T loops). Further hydrogen bonds mediate the characteristic L-shaped molecular structure. tRNAs have two regions of fundamental functional importance: the anti-codon, which is responsible for specific mRNA codon recognition, and the 3' end, to which the tRNAs corresponding amino acid is attached (by aminoacyl-tRNA synthetases). tRNAs cope with the degeneracy of the genetic code in two manners: having more than one tRNA (with a specific anti-codon) for a particular amino acid; and 'wobble' base-pairing, i.e. permitting non-standard base-pairing at the 3rd anti-codon position. The record is from RNAcentral.
CUUAGCUCAACGGAUAGAGCGUCGGACUUCGAAUCCGCAGGUUGUAGGUUCGAGUCCUACAGGG